RNAcentral lists this ribosomal RNA (253 nucleotides) under uncultured bacterium. RNAcentral's name for it is "partial 16S ribosomal RNA". It matches the Rfam family "Bacterial small subunit ribosomal RNA", at positions 524 to 776 of the family's 1533-position model. The record is from RNAcentral.
UACGGAGGGUGCAAGCGUUAGUCGGAAUUAUUGGGCGUAAAGGGUGCGUAGGCGGUUUGAUAAGUCUGAUGUGAAAUCCCGCAGCUUAACUGCGGAACUGCAUUGGAAACUAUUUGACUAGAGGAAUGGAGGGGAGACUGGAAUACUUGGUGUAGCAGUGAAAUGCGUAGAUAUCGAGUGGAACACCAGUGGCGAAGGCGAGUCUCUGGACAUUUCCUGACGCUGAGGCACGAAAGCCAGGGGAGCAAACGGG